UUUAAUCCCAGAUCUCAGGAAGCAGAACCAA
RNAcentral lists this non-coding RNA (31 nucleotides) under Rattus norvegicus (Norway rat). Lineage: Eukaryota; Metazoa; Chordata; Mammalia; Rodentia; Muridae. The record is from RNAcentral.